Molecule: ribosomal RNA, 387 nt
Filed under: uncultured bacterium
Lineage: Bacteria
Description: partial 16S ribosomal RNA
Rfam family: Bacterial small subunit ribosomal RNA
Source: RNAcentral
CCUACGGGGGGCAGCAGUGAGGAAUAUUGGUCAAUGGGCGCGAGCCUGAACCAGCCAAGCCGCGUGAGGGAAGACGGUCCUAUGGAUUGUAAACCUCUUUUGUCAGGGAGCAAAGGCCGCCACGUGUCGCCUUCUGAGAGUACCCGAAGAAAAAGCAUCGGCUAACUCCGUGCCAGCAGCCGCGGUAAUACGGAGGGUGCAAGCGUUGUCCGGAAUUAUUGGGCUUAAAGGGUUCGCAGGCGGGAUGUUAAGUCAGGUGUUAAAGCCCCGGGCUCAACCCGUGUACGGCCGUUGAAACUGGCAGGCUGGAGUGCGGGAGAGGUAUAGGGAAUGCGCGGUGUAGCGGUGAAAUGCAUAGAUAUCAGGAGGAACUCCGAUUGCGAAGGC